AGGACGAACGCUGGCGGCGUGCUUCAUACAUGCAAGUCGAACGAGGUUUAGUCGGUGGAAACACCGACGAAGACCGAGUGGCGAACGGGUGCGUAACACGUGAGCAACCUGCCCCGAAGACCGGGAUAACAGCGGGAAACCGCUGCUAAUACCGGAUAACCCCACCGGAUCGCAUGGUCUGGUGAGGAAAUGGACUCCGCUUCGGGAGGGGCUCGCGGCCUAUCAGCUUGUUGGUGGGGUAAUGGCUCACCAAGGCAACGACGGGUAGCUGGUCUGAGAGGACGAUCAGCCACACUGGGACUGAGACACGGCCCAGACUCCUACGGGAGGCAGCAGUAGGGAAUCUUGCGCAAUGGGCGAAAGCCUGACGCAGCAACGCCGCGUGAGGGAUGAAGGUCUUCGGGUUGUAAACCUCUUUCAAGCAGGGACGAUAAUGACGGUACCUGCAGAAGAAGCUCCGGCCAACUACGUGCCAGCAGCCGCGGU
RNAcentral lists this ribosomal RNA (486 nucleotides) under uncultured bacterium. Its description in RNAcentral is "SSU rRNA". It matches the Rfam family "Bacterial small subunit ribosomal RNA", at positions 26 to 521 of the family's 1533-position model. The record is from RNAcentral.